RNAcentral lists this ribosomal RNA (253 nucleotides) under uncultured bacterium. Its description in RNAcentral is "partial 16S ribosomal RNA". It matches the Rfam family "Bacterial small subunit ribosomal RNA", at positions 524 to 776 of the family's 1533-position model. The record is from RNAcentral.
UACAGAGGUCUCAAGCGUUGUUCGGAUUCAUUGGGCGUAAAGGGUGCGUAGGUGGCGCGCUAAGUCAGGUGUGAAAUUUCGGAGCUUAACUCCGAAACUGCAUUUGAUACUGGUGUGCUUGAGGACUGGAGAGGAGACUGGAAUUUACGGUGUAGCAGUGAAAUGCGUAGAGAUCGUAAGGAAGACCAGUGGCGAAGGCGGGUCUCUGGACAGUUCCUGACACUGAGGCACGAAGGUCAGGGGAGCAAACGGG